AGAACGAACGCUGGCGGCGUGGAUAAGACAUGCAAGUCGAGCGCUGAUUAAAGGGUAGCAAUAUCUUUUAAUUGGAGCGGCGCAAGGGUGCGUAACACGUGGGUAAUUUGCCAUAAAGUUGGGGAUAACUCGCUGAAAGGCGAGCUAAUACCGAAUGUGGCCCGAUGGAGGCAUCUCUGUUUGGCUAAAGUUGGGGACCGUAAGGCCUGACGCUUUUUGAUGAACCCGCGGCCUAUCAGCUAGUUGGUGAGGUAACGGCCCACCAAGGCUAAGACGGGUAGCUGGUCUGAGAGGACGACCAGCCACACUGGAACUGAGACACGGUCCAGACACCUACGGGUGGCAGCAGUCGAGAAUUUUUCAC
This 364-nucleotide ribosomal RNA is filed under the name uncultured bacterium. RNAcentral's name for it is "SSU rRNA". It matches the Rfam family "Bacterial small subunit ribosomal RNA", at positions 26 to 369 of the family's 1533-position model. The record is from RNAcentral.